Bemisia tabaci is the source of this 1787-nucleotide non-coding RNA. Lineage: Eukaryota; Metazoa; Arthropoda; Insecta; Hemiptera; Aleyrodidae. The record is from RefSeq and is a predicted model, not a curated record.
AGCCACUUACACUCGACAGUUUCAUCCACGUCCGUGCCUGUGAUCGAGAAGGGGAAGCCGGGAUCUCGCUAGAUGUUUGUUUUGAUGCCACUAUCAACUCCAGAUAAAAUAGGCGUAUGAAAAACCGACAGCCUAAAUUCGGACAAGCAGUCAGUCUCUAUCCAACUUCCCUAUUUUAAGUGCUCAUCAGCUCCUACACCAGCGUGAUCACAUUUACGCGUUUGUACUUAUGAACUUUAAACAAUUAUAGAAGUAGCUCUUGUCUAGCUCGUGGUGCCGCGCGCAGUCAACUCCCUCCUGAACGUAGCUCUCUUUGCAUCGCAUCAAUCAGUACGAACUUUGACUGAAUUUCAGCCGAAAAGUCUUAGCUUUCAUUAAGAUUCAAAAUAGUGGCCGCAUCUCGAAGAAUAAAAUUAAAAAAGAAACGCAUCGAAGACCCUCGCUUGGCACCAGCUGCAACGGCCGAAAAAAAGACAUACAUUGAGAAGAGGCGGCUCUGACCGAACGGGAAACUUUGGAAGUGGAUCAUGUCUUGUUGCGCGAGGAAAGGGUGCCCGCCACAAACCCGACAGCCGACCAAACGAUCCAUCCUCAUGUGCCGUCCGACUUUCUUCACGGUUGCCUACGCGAUCAACCCCUACAUGAACACGGACACCCCGGUGGACCAGGCGAAGGCAGUGGCGCAGUGGCAGACACUCUACGACACCUACGAACAGCUCGGAUUCGACCUCCACCUCAUAGACCCGCUACCCGGGCUGCCCGACAUGGUCUUCGCCGCCAACGGGGGCUUCGUCCUCGAUGGCAUCGCCUACGGCGCCAAGUUCCGCCACCCGGAGCGCCAGCCCGAGGGACCCGCCUACAUGAACUGGUUCCGCAAUUUCGGUCUUAAAGUCGUCGAGCCGGAGUUCACGAACGAAGGCAUGGGUGACUUCACCCUCGUCGGCAACGUCAUCCUUGCAGGGACCGGUUUCCGAGCCGACGUCCGCUCCCACGAAGAACUCAGGCGCGUCUUCAAACGGGAAGUGGUGACUUUGAAGCUGGUCAACCCUCGCUAUUACCACCUGGACGUGGCGCUCACCGUUCUGGACCCGGUGCCGGUUGACCCGUCGUCGCCCUGCGUCGCUUACCUAGAGUCUGCCUUCGACGAAGCAUCCUUGGCCACUCUGAGGAACCGCUUCCCAAACGCCAUUAUCGCCAGUGAGGAAGACGCUGCCUUGCUCGCACUCAACUCGUAUAGUGAUGGCUACAACGUUGUCUAUCCCUCGAAAGCUACCAACUUCGCCAGGCAACUCAAGGAGCACGGAUACAAUCCGAUCGGCGUGGACUUGUCCGAGCUUUUCUUGGGCGGUGGCUCCAUCAGAUGCUGUACUCUGGACCUACAUCCUGUCGGAACCGGCACCUCCGUUGCUCGCGCCUCUUAAUCCAGUAAUUUAUUCUAAGAGGCCCUUUACACGUUCAAAAAGUUACCUAUCUAAUAAUCCUCUUAUUAUCAGUGAGCUGAAAUAAUGUAUCGAUAAACAAGGUCUUUGCUGACAUGAACGUCCUCAUAGUUCGUAUGUGGAAAGGCUGUCUGGAGAACUACCUUAUAGGAACACUGCCUAUUUAUCUAUUUUCUUUGUUCUUCCUCUUACUCCGUUCUUCCUACUCUACAAGGUUCCCGGGACCCAGGUUAAAGUUAUAAGGUUACAUUUUGUACAUUCUCAUAUUGCUUAAGCUUAUUUUAUUAUGUUAAAAAAUUGUAUUAUUUUGACAAUUAAACUAAGUAUUAUGACCCACUACCAUAAAAA